UACGAAGGGGGCUAGCGUUGUUCGGAUUUACUGGGCGUAAAGCGCACGUAGGCGGAUCGUUAAGUCGGGGGUGAAAUCCUGGAGCUCAACUCCAGAACUGCCUUCGAUACUGGCGAUCUUGAGUCCGGAAGAGGUGAGUGGAACUCCUAGUGUAGAGGUGGAAUUCGUAGAUAUUCGGAAGAACACCAGUGGCGAAGGCGGCUUACUGGUCCGGUACUGACGCUGAGGUGCGAAAGGCGUGGGGAGCAAACAGG
This 254-nucleotide ribosomal RNA is filed under the name uncultured bacterium. RNAcentral's name for it is "partial 16S ribosomal RNA". It matches the Rfam family "Bacterial small subunit ribosomal RNA", at positions 524 to 776 of the family's 1533-position model. The record is from RNAcentral.